AAAGCUUCAGAGGAAACCUUUCCGCGGUUCUUCACUUCUCCCAAAAAAAAAAUUUUCGAAUUUUCUGGAGAAAAAAAAUCCUUUCGAAGAUUACUGCAAGAGGAAAUCAACGACAUUCUUAAAAUAGUACUGGUUUCAAGUUUUCCUUAAUCGUUCCUUUAAUUAUUGUUGAGUAUGUGGGUGUGAGGAAACUGACCAUUGACAAGUGUGAAUUCAACGGCUAAAGAAGUAGCAACAAAAACACAGAUAAGUUCUUUUAUUGCUUCUUUGGUUUUGGUUUUAUCAGACCAGUAGACACUCUUCUACUGCCGAUUCUUACUUUUUUGUUUAAUCAGACUCCAGAAAGAUCAUAGGCAGACACUAAUCUAUGGUGUUCUGCCAGAUUCUUAUUUGGGGACAUUGUCCUGAGUCCCUGUUGCGUGAAAGUUUAGACCCACAGGAAAUUCAAACCAUUGUUGGUAGUAAGCAUGCAAGAGAUGUUUGGGUAUGGAAAGUUAUACCAUGCUUACUUAAGUACCCACGGCUUUUCAAAAACAACCCACCGGCUUAAAAAGAAGAAGUCAUUAGACAGAAAUAGCUAUGUCUAGCUAUGAAAAUGAUGGAUGGAAAAGGACCAUCGGCUUACAAAAUGUCUUUAGACAAAGGCUAUUAAUUGGUUUUUUUGAGCUUGUUGGAUGGAAAUAACGACCACAAGUGAUGAAAACUAAUUGUCCCGAGUCCCUAUUGAGCUUGUUGGAUGGAAAUAACGACCACAAGUGAUGAAAACUAAUUGUCCUGAGUCCCUGUUGCAUGAAAUAACGAUCACAAUGGGGGGUUUGUUUGUUGUACCCACGGCUUAUGAAAAAUAGUAAGACAAAAGGGUUUGUUUGUUGUACCCACGACUAAUGAAAAAUUGUAAGACAAAAGGCUAGUAACUGAAAACAAAUGCAUUAAGACAAAAGGGUUUGUUUGUUGUACCCACGGCUUAUGAGAAAUUGUAAGACAAAAGGCUAGUAACUAAAAACAGAUGUAUUAAGGCAAAAGGCUUGCCAAAGAAGGUCUUUAGACACAGACUGUAAAUGAAAUCAACAUGUAUGUGUACCCACGGCUUUGCAAGAAAAACAGAUGCAUUAAGACAAAGGGGUUUGUUUGUUGUACCCACGGCUUAUGAGAAAUUAUAAGACAAAAGGCUAGUAACUGAAAACAGAUGCAUUAAUGCAAAAGGCUGGCCAAAGAAGGUCUUUAGACACAGACUGUAAAUGUAAUCAACACGUAUGUGUACCCACGGCUUUGCAAUAAAAUAUUCAGAGAAAGACUGCAUGAACAGGGCUUGCAAGAAAGGUCUUCAGACAAAACUGUGAGUGAAAACUUCUUCAUCACAUUUGUACCCACGGCUUUGCAAAAAGAAUUAUGACACUUGAUUUACAAUUUUGUUGGAUGGAAAUAACGACCAACAACUUUUAAAAGGUCUGUAACAAAGACACUGUAUGUACCUUCUUUACCCACGGCUUUAUCAAGUGUCUAUAGACAAAAACCAAAUCUAGACUAAUCUCAACCACAACUCUAUGAAGAGUUUUUAGACAAAAGACUGGGAAUCAAAACACACAUAUUGUUUUUACACACGGGUUCACGAAGAGUCUUCAGACAAAACCUGAAUCUAAAAUAGAUUCGUCGUUUACUACUACUACCCACGACUUAAAAAAAAUGGACUACAGCCGUGGGAAGGAAAACGACUUACAAAGAGUCUUAAGGAAAACACUAACAGAGUGAUCUAGUGAAAAGUACCCAUGGCUUGGUAAACUUUUGUUGGAUGGAAUAACGACCAGCUUCUCAGAAAACGUCCCAAAGCAAAGACUAUGAUUUUAAACCGAUAGUAGUAACCCACGGCUUAUAAAGGGUUGGAUUGAUAAAGUACCCACGGCUUAUUAGAUAAAAGACAAAUUGAAAACAGACUCAUUACUUUAGUAGUUCCUAACGGCUUUACUACACACGGCUUAAGAAGAGGCUAGAAAAUAUUACGACAACCAAAUGGUUUAUGAAGUCUACACAACUUGGUUUGUGAAGAUUCUCCAGACAAAGACUGUGAAUACCCAUUACCCACGGCUAAUGAAGAAUCCAUUAGACAAUAUUGCUACAUGUAAACCAACGGCUUAAAAGAAGUCUUGAGACAAAGACUGUGAAUACCCAUUACCCACGGCUUAUGAAGAAUCCUUUAGACAAUAUUGCUACAUGUAAACCAACGGCUUAAAAGAAGUCUUGAGACAAAGACUAUUUACCAAAUUCUUUACAUUAACCACAAGGUUUUAACUUGUUGGAUGGUAAAAACGACCAACAGCUUAUACCAAGUCUAAGACACUAUGAACCAAAGACUGAGUCGGUUUUUGGCUUUUUGGAUGGUAAAAAACGACCAACAAGUUAAACCAAGUCUUAAUAUAGAGAAAAAAUUGUCUCGAUACAGAGACUAUGAACCAAAAUUUUGAAUCGGUUUUUUGGCCUUUUGGAUGGUAAAGUAAACCAAGUCUUUAUAUAUAUAGACUAUGAAGCAAAAACUGAUUCAUUUUGCGUCAACUAAAGGCUAAUUAGUUAUGAAUUCCUCAGGUUUUGCAUGUGCUUCAGAAGACAGAGAUGAUUUCAAGUGUAUCAGAUUUCUUUGACAGGUAUGUGCUUUUCCAAAACUCGUUUGUUACUUAUAGUUGGUAUAAUUAUGAAAAUUACAAGCAGGAGAGACUGACAUUAAGUGAAGACUUGUUAUAUUUGUUUAGGUAUGUGCUUCGCAAACUGAUUUAUUUUGCGUCAACUAAAGACUAAUUAGUUAUGAAUUCCUCAGGUUUUGUAUGUUCUUCAGAAGACACAAAGAUGAUUUCAAGUGUAUCAGAUUUCUUUGACAGGUAUGUGCUUUCUUCACUUUUUUCUCUUACAAAUUGAUAUUAUUACGUAUGAAUGAAUACAAUCUAAGUGAUAUAUGCGUAAAGGUAAAAAAUUGGAAAGCUCUAUUUUAAAAUUAAUAAUGUUUUAUUAAGCUUUCUUGACAACGUUUCUCUCAGUGAUCUAGCAUCCAUGAGAUUCUAGAAAGUGACUGCUAGCAUAUCCAUUGAUGAGCAAGUAGAUUCAUUUUUUUUAAUAUUGAUGUAUUUACAGGAUUACAAAGUUUAAUCUUUAUUAUCUUUAAUUUGGUGCUUGUACGUAUGAUAAGGUCUUUUGUUGUUAUGGGUUUUAUGUGUCUUCGAGUCUCUUGUAGAUCAACGUAGGUGAGAGACUCCUGCAAACUGUGGUAAUAGUUUCUUUGAAUCUUUGAAUUAUUUUGAUUUGUGUCAUGCUUUUAACACUCACUGGUCAUUUUAAACGUGUUAGAAUCUCUUUGUUUUGGUGCUUGUAUGUAUUAUAAGGUCUCUCAUUUUAUGAAAUUGAUGUAUCUUGGAUUCUCUGGUAGAUCAACAUAUGUGAGAGAUUCCAUCAUGUUGUUGUAUUAGUUUUUUUUUGAAUCUUGAUGAAUGUUUAUGUUUUGUGUUAUGGUCUUAAGCCUCAGUGAUAACUGUAAACAUGUGAAAUGACUUCUUUACAACUCUGCAUAGUACAUAGGCUAAUGAUUGAUGUGUUAGAUUCAAUAAAUUGUAUAUGUUGACUACAUUUCUGUCAUUGAUCUAGUAUUCGUGAGAUUGUAGAAAUUAUUGCUUGUUAAUCCUUGAAAACAUUAAGUGAUAUAUACUUAUAAGGAAAUACCAUUUAAGGAUCAGAAAUGUUUCUUAAAGAACUAUUUUCGUAUUCUUACUAACAAUGUGUGACUAAGUAUCUGCAGGAUUCUAUAAACUGAUUGAUAAUAUAUACAUUCAUGAGAAAGUCUAUUUUAUUUUGUGUUACUUUGGUGCUUGUAUGUAUCUUGCCGCUUGUGGUAAUAGUUUUAUUGAAUAUUGAAUGUGUAGGUUUUGUUUUGUUACUCAAAUCUGUGAUUAUUUCUAACCAUGCGAACUGACAAGUUCAGAAUUUUCAUAUGCUGUGUUACAUUCUAUAAUUGUUACAGCUUAUCCCUUGGUCUCCUAGUCUUACACAGCUGAUGAAAAUCUUUUGAAAUAUCGUGUGUAGUUAGAUUGUGCAAUUGAUCUUUCUUGAUUUUCUAGGUGCUCUCAUGCUCUGAUAUUCUCUUGUAUCCAAAGUCUGUUUUGGUUAAUAGGAACCGUAGUGUUCUUUAAUAGGUGGUAGAUUUAGAAGUUCUUGACUAUAGUUUAUCAAAAUGCUCAAGUUUUUAGUUUAUUGCCUAGGCAAAGAAGCACAUUACAGAAAUUUAUAGGAGUGUUUCUAAGAAGUGGUAUUUGCGAUUGCUAAACUGAAUAGUGACUUGUGACUCCAUGUUAUAGAUUAAGACUAAAGUCGAUAGAUUCAACUGUAAUGUUUAGAGAUAAUAAAUAUUACUUCUUUAAUUAGACAAAUUGAAUUUCGUAUGUCAUAAACAAUCAUGUUCUCUGUAUGUUUUCUUAGCUUUAUGUUAGAUUAUUAGAUCUGUUUCAUGUAUUAUGGUUGGUCAUCCUAUCGUCUAUUGCUUGUUAUUGCCUUCAGCUGAUAUAACAUCUUUGACGUUUGCAUCUAGAUUCUUAGAACAUAAUUAGUUUGGUAAAAUUUUAUUUCUCCACUUUAUUUUCUUUUGGA
Long non-coding RNA from Raphanus sativus (radish), 4620 nucleotides. RefSeq lists it as uncharacterized. The transcript is spliced from 3 exons. NCBI's taxonomy places the organism in Eukaryota, Viridiplantae, Streptophyta, Magnoliopsida, Brassicales, Brassicaceae. The record is from RefSeq and is a predicted model, not a curated record.